CAACCCUCAAGCCCCCCCGGGGGCUCGGCGUUGGGGACCGGCACCGCCCUCGCAGCGGUCGCCGCCCCCGAAAUACAGUGGCGGUCCCGCCGCAGCCUCCCCUGCGCAGUAGCACAGCUCGCAGAAGGAGCGCGGCGCGGCCACGCCGUAAAACACCCCAAACAAACGAAAUUG
Molecule: unclassified non-coding RNA, 174 nt
Filed under: uncultured Trichoderma
Lineage: Eukaryota; Fungi; Ascomycota; Sordariomycetes; Hypocreales; Hypocreaceae
Description: sequence contains ITS2
Source: RNAcentral